RNAcentral lists this ribosomal RNA (447 nucleotides) under uncultured bacterium. Its description in RNAcentral is "SSU rRNA". It matches the Rfam family "Bacterial small subunit ribosomal RNA", at positions 26 to 518 of the family's 1533-position model. The record is from RNAcentral.
AGAGCGAACGCUGGCGGCAGGCUUAACACAUGCAAGUCGAGCGGGCGUAGCAAUGCGUCAGCGGCAGACGGGUGAGUAACGCGUGGGAACGUACCUUUUGGUUCGGAACAACCCAGGGAAACUUGGGCUAAAUACCGGAUAAGCCCUUACGGGGAAAGAUUUAUCGCCGAAAGAUCGGCCCGCGUCUGAUUAGCUAGUUGGUGAGGUAAUGGCUCACCAAGGCGACGAUCAGUAGCUGGUCUGAGAGGAUGAUCAGCCACAUUGGGACUGAGACACGGCCCAAACUCCUACGGGAGGCAGCAGUGGGGAAUAUUGGACAAUGGGCGCAAGCCUGAUCCAGCCAUGCCGCGUGAGUGAUGAAGGCCCUAGGGUUGUAAAGCUCUUUGUGCGGGAAGAUAAUGACGGUACCGCAAGAAUAAGCCCGGCUAACUUCGCGCCAGCAGCCGC